Camelina sativa (false flax) is the source of this 407-nucleotide long non-coding RNA. RefSeq lists it as uncharacterized. The record is from RefSeq and is a predicted model, not a curated record. Lineage: Eukaryota; Viridiplantae; Streptophyta; Magnoliopsida; Brassicales; Brassicaceae.
UUGUGAUAUUGUCGUUUGUUCAUUGGAUGUAGUUUUUUUAUGAUGAUAAUACAGGAGAUUUCUUGCUAUUUUGAUCUAGAGCUUGGGAAAAUCAAUACUAAACGUUUUGCUGCAAGAGAGUGUAAUGGACGACAUGAUUGGCACAACAGGGAGCCAUUGAGCCAGUUCGACGUUGGGGACUGAUUGAGUGAAGCAACAACGAGAGAAUGUUGUGGCUGGUGAUUUUACUGCUGAUAUGGGUCGCAGAUUUCUUCAUCUCCUUCUGUGAGAAACUGGAUAAAUCUUCCCCUACGAAGUGUUUGGCUAAGACACCAAAGAAAAAUAACAAAUCACUAUGAUCCCACAAUUAUUGGAUAGAGGACUUUCAUAGGACAUGGAAAAUGGCGUUGUAAGCAUUAACUGGAACA